AACGAACGCUGGCGGCGUGCUUAACACAUGCAAGUGGAGCGACGAACCGGGCUUCGGCCCGGGGCAAAGCCGCGAACGGGUGAGUAUCACGUGGGUAACCUGCCCCGAUGACCGAGAUAACCCGAAGAAACUCGGGCUAAUACCGGAUGUGCUCGCAGCACAUCAGUGCAGUGAGUAAAGGAAGCUUCGGCCUCCGCAUUGGGAUGGGCCCGCGGCCCAUUAGCUCGUUGGUGAGGUAACGGCUCACCAAGGCGACGAUGGGUAGCUGGUCUGAGAGGACGAUCAGCCACACUGGGACUGAGAAACGGCCCAGACUCCUACGGGAGGCAGCAGUGGGGAAUCUUGCGCAAUGCGCGAAAGCGUGACGCAGCAACGCCGCGUGAGGGAAGAAGGCCUUCGGGUUGUAAACCUCUUUCAGGAGGGACGAAGGUUCAGGCGCGAAUAGCGUCCUGGACUGACGGUACCUCCAGAAGAAGCCCCGGCUAACUACGUGCCAGCCGCCGCCGUAA
This 509-nucleotide ribosomal RNA is filed under the name uncultured bacterium. RNAcentral's name for it is "partial 16S ribosomal RNA". It matches the Rfam family "Bacterial small subunit ribosomal RNA", at positions 29 to 523 of the family's 1533-position model. The record is from RNAcentral.